RNAcentral lists this ribosomal RNA (253 nucleotides) under uncultured bacterium. Its description in RNAcentral is "partial 16S ribosomal RNA". It matches the Rfam family "Bacterial small subunit ribosomal RNA", at positions 524 to 776 of the family's 1533-position model. The record is from RNAcentral.
UACGUAGGGUGCGAGCGUUGUCCGGAAUUACUGGGCGUAAAGAGCUCGUAGGUGGUUUGUCGCGUUGUCCGUGAAAACUCACAACUCAAUUGUGGGCGUGCGGGCGAUACGGGCAGACUGGAGUACUGCAGGGGAGACUGGAAUUCCUGGUGUAGCGGUGGAAUGCGCAGAUAUCAGGAGGAACACCGGUGGCGAAGGCGGGUCUCUGGGCAGUAACUGACGCUCAUGCACGAAAGCGUGGGGAGCAAACAGG